RNAcentral lists this ribosomal RNA (164 nucleotides) under Veronica densiflora. Its description in RNAcentral is "5.8S ribosomal RNA". It matches the Rfam family "5.8S ribosomal RNA". Rfam says of the family: 5.8S ribosomal RNA (5.8S rRNA) is a component of the large subunit of the eukaryotic ribosome. It is transcribed by RNA polymerase I as part of the 45S precursor that also contains 18S and 28S rRNA. The record is from RNAcentral. Lineage: Eukaryota; Viridiplantae; Streptophyta; Magnoliopsida; Lamiales; Plantaginaceae.
UCUAAACGACUCUCGGCAACGGAUAUCUCGGCUCUCGCAUCGAUGAAGAACGUAGCGAAAUGCGAUACUUGGUGUGAAUUGCAGAAUCCCGUGAACCAUCGAGUUUUUGAACGCAAGUUGCGCCCGAAGCCUUCUGGCUGAGGGCACGCCUGCCUGGGCGUCAC